GAUGAAGAACGCAGCGAAAUGCGAUACGUAAUGUGAAUUGCAGAAUUCAGUGAAUCAUCGAGUCUUUGAACGCACAUUGCGCCCUCUGGUAUUCCGGAGGGCAUGCCUGUCCGAGCGUCAUUGCUGCCCUCAAGCACGGCUUGUGUGUUGGGCCCCGCCCCCCGAUCCCGGGGGGCGGGCCCGAAAGGCAGCGGCGGCACCGCGUCCGGUCCUCGAGCGUAUGGGGCUUCGUCACCCGCUCUUGUAGGCCCGGCCGGCGCUUGCCGACACAUCAAUCUUUUUUCCAGGUUGACCUCGGAUCAGGUAGGGAUACCCGCUGAACUUAAGCAUAUCAAUAAGCGGAGGA
RNAcentral lists this unclassified non-coding RNA (346 nucleotides) under soil metagenome. Its description in RNAcentral is "partial contains 5.8S ribosomal RNA, internal transcribed spacer 2, and large subunit ribosomal RNA". The stretch from base 1 to 120 matches the Rfam family "5.8S ribosomal RNA", at positions 35 to 154 of the family's 154-position model. The record is from RNAcentral.